This 2452-nucleotide ribosomal RNA is filed under the name alkali sediment metagenome. RNAcentral describes it as "bacterial LSU rRNA". It matches the Rfam family "Bacterial large subunit ribosomal RNA", at positions 3 to 2423 of the family's 2925-position model. The record is from RNAcentral.
UCAAGCUACAAAGGGCGAACGGUGGAUGCCUUGGCGCCAGAAGGCGAUGAAAGACGCGGAUAGCUGCGAUAAGCCCCGGGGAGCCGCUAAACAGGCUUAGAUCCGGGGAUCUCUGAAUGGGGGAACCCGUCCGGAGUCAUGUCCGGACAUCUCCAGCUGAAUCCAUAGGUUGGAGAGGCGAACGGGGGGAACUGAAACAUCUCAGUACCCCCAGGAAAAGAAAGCAACUGCGAUUCCCAAAGUAGUGGCGAGCGAAAUGGGAAGAGCCCAAACCCAAGAUAUGUUCAAGCCCGCAGGCGUUGUAUUUCGGGGGUUGUGGGGCGUUGUCGGAGGGACCUGCGGAUCCCUCGGGAAGUUACCAAAUCCAUUCCUAGUCGAAGGGCCUGGGAAGGCCCGCCGCAGAAGGUGAUAGUCCUGUAGGCGAAAGGAAUGGGUCUUCCUGGACGGCGCUCCCGAGUACCACGGGACACGAGAAAUCCCGUGGGAAACCGGGAGGACCAUCUUCCAAGGCUAAAUACUCCCUGGCGACCGAUAGUGAACAAGUACCGUGAGGGAAAGGUGAAAAGUACUCCGGUGAGGAGAGUGAAAUAGUACCUGAAACCGUUUGCCUACAAGCGGUAGGAGCCCCAUAUCUCGUAGCAAUACGGGAUGGGGUGACUGCGUGCCUUUUGCAUAAUGAGUCAGCGAGUUAUUCUAUGCAGCCAGGUUAAGCCGUGAGGUGUAGCCGUAGCGAAAGCGAGUCUGAAUAGGGCGAUUAGUUGCAUAGAAUAGACCCGAAGCCAGGUGAUCUACCCAUGGUCAGGGUGAAAUUUCGGUAACACGAAAUGAAGGCCCGAACCGGUGUUGGUUGAAAACAGCUCGGAUGAACUGUGGGUAGGGGUGAAAGGCCAAUCAAACCUGGAAAUAGCUGGUUCUCCCCGAAAUCUAUUUAGGUAGAGCCUUGCAAAUUAAGUGGCGGAGGUAGAGCACUGGAUGGGCUAGGGGCCCUACCAGGUUACCAACCCCAACCAAACUCCGAAUGCCGCUAACUUCUAUUGCAGGAGAAAGACUACGGGCGAUAAGGUUCGUGGUCGAGAGGGAAACAGCCCAGACCGUCAGCUAAGGUCCCGGAGCAUGUGCUAAGUGGGAAAGGAUGUGGAGUUGCUCAGACAACCAGGAGGUUGGCUUAGAAGCAGCCAUCCUUUAAAGAAAGCGUAAUAGCUCACUGGUCUAGUGANNNNNNNNNNNNNNNNNNNNNNNNNNNNNNNNNCCAGACCGUAAGGACUGGUCGACGAAAUGGAAGAGAUCAUGCUGACAUUAGUAGCGAUAAAGCCGGUGAAAAACCGGCUCGCCGUAAGCCUAAGGGUUCCUGAGUAAAGUUAAUCUUCUCAGGGUGAGUCGAUCCCUAAGCCGAGGCCGAAAGGCGUAGGCGAUGGAAAACAGGUUAAUAUUCCUGUACCACUGUUUCCACGUUCGAGCAAUGGGGGGACGUAGGAGGGUAGGCCAUCCUCGUUUUGGAAUACGAGGUCCAAGCCGGUAGGUGGACCUGCCAGGAAAAUCCGGCAGGUCGUUAACACCGAGAAGUGAUGGGGAUGCCGAGCAAUCGGCAACAAACUGGCUAAUCCCACGCUACCAAGAAAAGCCUCUAGCGAGUGGAAGGGGUGAUCGUACCGUAAACCGACACAGGUGGGCAGGGAGAAUAUCCCAAGGCGCUUGAGUGAUCCCUCGUUAAGGAACUCGGCCAAUUUACUCCGUAACUUCGGGAAAAGGAGUGUCUCGGUCCGUGAAGGGACUUGCUCCCCGAGCGGCCUGAGAUCGCAGUGAAAAGGCUGUAGCGACUGUUUAAUAAAAACACAGGUCUCUGCGAAGUCGCAAGACGAUGUAUAGGGACUGACGCCUGCCCGGUGCCGGAAGGUUAAGGGGAUUUGUUAGUGCCGCUUCGGCGGUGCGAAGCAUUGAACUGAACCCCCGGUAAACGGCGGCCGUAACUAUAACGGUCCUAAGGUAGCGAAAUUCCUUGUCGGGUAAGUUCCGACCUGCACGAAUGGCGUAACGACUUCAGCACUGUCUCAACGAGGGGCUCAGCGAAGUUGUGAGAGCGGUGAAGACGCCGCUUACCCGCGUCAAGACGGAAAGACCCCGUGCACCUUUACUAUAACUUGGCAAUGGAUUUUGGGAUAGUCUGUGUAGGAUAGGUGGGAGGCUUUGAAGCCAUGCCGCUAGGUGUGGUGGAGCCAACCUUGAAAUACCACCCUGGUUAUUCUGAAGUUCUAACUUGGACCCCUGAAUCGGGGUUGAGGACAUUGCCUGGUGGGUAGUUUGACUGGGGCGGUCGCCUCCUAAAGCGUAACGGAGGCGCACGAAGGUUCCCUCAGGCUGAUUGGAAACCAGCCGUAGAGUGUAAAGGCAUAAGGGAGCUUGACUGCGAGACUGACAAGUCGAGCAGGUGCGAAAGCAGGUCUUAGUGAUCCGG